This 445-nucleotide ribosomal RNA is filed under the name uncultured bacterium. RNAcentral describes it as "SSU rRNA". It matches the Rfam family "Bacterial small subunit ribosomal RNA", at positions 26 to 518 of the family's 1533-position model. The record is from RNAcentral.
AGAACGAACGCUGGCGGCAUGCCUAACACAUGCAAGUCGAACGCCUGUAGCAAUACAGGAGUGGCGCACGGGUGAGUAACGCGUGGGAACCUACCCUGGAGUGGGGGAUAACCGAGGGAAACUUCGGCUAAUACCCCAUACGACCUGAGGGUGAAAGAUUUAUCGCUCUAGGAGGGGCCCGCGUCGGAUUAGCUAGUUGGUGAGGUAACGGCCCACCAAGGCGAUGAUCCGUAGCUGGUCUGAGAGGAUGAUCAGCCACACUGGGACUGAGACACGGCCCAGACUCCUACGGGAGGCAGCAGUGGGAAUAUUGGACAAUGGGGGCAACCCUGAUCCAGCAAUGCCGCGUGAGUGAUGAAGGCCUUAGGGUUGUAAAGCUCUUUCGGCGGGGACGAUGAUGACGGUACCGCAGAAGAAGCCCGGCUAACUUCGUGCCAGCAGCCGC